UGAAGCGUCUCGGAAUAUGGUUCAGAGACAGGCGGGGAGCAGCUUGAGUCUUGCCUUAGCGUCGUGGCGUUAGCAGGACUGGUUUACAUUGCGGGGGGGAAGUUGUGUUAAUAGGGGCUGAGAGGUGCGGCGCGUCCCGGCUUAGCGUGAUGCGUGGCAGGAUGUCGUGGAUGCCUGGCGGCUUAGCAAAGAUUGGGAGGCCCUGCAUUGCUUGGCGGGGGUUGGGGGGAUCUGCUCGUCGCGCUAAACAACCCAUUAAGGCACCGCCGCGAUGCAUCACCUGCCGCAUCCGGUCCAGGGAGCCCACCGCCCCCACUAUCCCCCCAGCAGCGUCCAGGCGAACAAAGGAGCAUGAAUGUUUCAAGGCAAGAGGAAGGAACGGAACAGAGGUGUGACACUCCCCGCCAGCCACGCUCCUUACGCUCCUUCCUGAGUACAGAUGUCAUUGUUAAGUCGCCAGAGCCCCGCAAUCCCCCGCUCGCUGCUGAAGGACGGCCUCUCGCAGCCCCGAGCCCCGUCACCCGCUGGAAGAUCAAAAGUCAGACACGAGUGAGCGGCGCUGAGCCUCCGCCACUCACAGCCAAAUUUAAAGAAGGAUAAAGCACCACCAGUGGAGAGCUGCCGUCGCUCAACAACCGCUCCACCUCCACCUCCACCUCCGCUUCCACCACCACCACCAACCCUCCGCCAUCACCACCCAGCUCAUCAAUCCCUCCUACUUCACCACCACGGCCAGCCUUUCGCCUCCUCCAUCACCACCACAACUGCCACCACUAAUACCAGCCUUCCACCAUCGCCACCGCCACCACUACCACCACCGCCUAGCUCAUCCAGCUCCCAGCAGCACAACACGAAACAAAGGCAUCUACUUCAUGUAUUUUGAUGAGUUAAGUAAAUAUUUACGUCAAAUCUGU
Long non-coding RNA from Scylla paramamosain (green mud crab), 914 nucleotides. RefSeq lists it as uncharacterized. Lineage: Eukaryota; Metazoa; Arthropoda; Malacostraca; Decapoda; Portunidae. The transcript is spliced from 4 exons. The record is from RefSeq and is a predicted model, not a curated record.